RNAcentral lists this ribosomal RNA (264 nucleotides) under uncultured bacterium. RNAcentral describes it as "partial 16S ribosomal RNA". It matches the Rfam family "Bacterial small subunit ribosomal RNA", at positions 334 to 590 of the family's 1533-position model. The record is from RNAcentral.
GUGUCCUACGGGGCGCAGCAGUAGGGAAUCUUCCACAAUGGACGAAAGUCUGAUGGAGCAACGCCGCGUGAGUGAAGAAGGGUUUCGGCUCGUAAAGCUCUGUUGGUAGUGAAGAAAGAUAGAGGUAGUAACUGGCCUUUGUUUGACGGUAAUUACUUAGAAAGUCACGGCUAACUACGUGCCAGCAGCCGCGGUAAUACGUAGGUGGGAAGCGUUGUCCGGAUUUAUUGGGCGGAAAGCGAGUGCAGGCGGGUCAAUAAAGGU